AGAGUUUGAUCUGGCUCAGGAUGAACGCUAGCGGCAGGCUUAAUACAUGCAAGUCGAGGGGCAGCAGGACUGUAGCAAUACAGUUGCUGGCGACCGGCAAACGGGUGCGGAACACGUACGCAAUCUACCCAAAACUGGUGAAUAGCCCUCCGAAAGGAGGAUUAAUACACCGUAACUUAAUGAGGUGGCAUCACUUUAUUAAUAUAGCUCCGGCGGUUUUGGAUGAGCGUGCGCCUGAUUAGGUAGUUGGCGGGGUAACGGCCCACCAAGCCUGCGAUCAGUAACUGGUGUGAGAGCACGACCAGUCACACGGGCACUGAGACACGGGCCCGACUCCUACGGGAGGCAGCAGUAAGGAAUAUUGGUCAAUGGACGCAAGUCUGAACCAGCCAUGCCGCGUGAAGGAUGAAGGUCCUCUGGAUUGUAAACUUCUUUUAUAGGGGACGAAACCCGGGUAUUCUUACCCGAUUGACGGUACCCUAGGAAUAAGCACCGGCUAACUCCGUGCCAGCAGCCGCGGUAAUACGGAGGGUGCAAGCGUUAUCCGGAUUCACUGGGUUUAAAGGGUG
RNAcentral lists this ribosomal RNA (569 nucleotides) under uncultured bacterium. RNAcentral describes it as "bacterial SSU rRNA". It matches the Rfam family "Bacterial small subunit ribosomal RNA", at positions 8 to 569 of the family's 1533-position model. The record is from RNAcentral.